Molecule: ribosomal RNA, 500 nt
Filed under: uncultured bacterium
Lineage: Bacteria
Description: partial 16S ribosomal RNA
Rfam family: Bacterial small subunit ribosomal RNA
Source: RNAcentral
ACUCAAAUGAAUUGACGGGGGCCCGCACAAGCGGUGGAGCAUGUGGUUUAAUUCGACGCAACGCGAAGAACCUUACCAAGGCUUGACAUGGGGAAGACUGGACGAGAGAUCGUCCUUCUCUAGCAAUAGAGCUUCCCACACAGGUGCUGCAUGGCUGUCGUCAGCUCGUGUCGUGAGAUGUUGGGUUAAGUCCCGCAACGAGCGCAACCCUCGUUUCUAGUUGCCAUCAUUCAGUUGGGCCCUCUAGAGAGACUGCCGCGAAUAACGCGGAGGAAGGUGGGGACGACGUCAAGUCAUCAUGGCCCUUACGUCUUGGGCUACACACGUGCUACAAUGGAUGUUACAAAGGGUCGCAAGAGCGCAAGCUGGAGCCAAUCCCCAAAAGCAUCCUCAGUUCAGAUUGAGGUCUGCAACUCGACCUCAUGAAGGUGGAAUCGCUAGUAAUCGCGGAUCAGAACGCCGCGGUGAAUACGUUCCCGGGCCUUGCACACACCGCCCGU